CAGCUCGGAGCAGCGUUGCACUGCUGCUGCGGGGGCUUUUAAACGGCUGGGGGACGGUGCAGGGCUAGGGUUGGAAGGGGACGUUUGCUGGUUCAGCGGGAGGCGAGCGAGUUGGAUGCCACGAGGCGCUGAGGGGCAGCUGUGAGCCGAACCGGUCCGUUUCCGUUCCCGGGUGACGGGCGUAUAUUCGCUGUUAGCCGGAGGACUAAUCACCAUAGAGAGCGGCGGAUGAGCUGCGCAGAGCGGUUAGAUCGGCACUUCCGCAUUUCUGGGCGCAUGUGUUUUGCCGCUGGCGGGACUCGGCGGCAGGCAGCGGCAGUUCCGCGCGUUGGCCACGCGGUGGCAGCAGAGACCACGGCAAGAACUUUCCUGCCGGAUCGAUGCCGGGAUUCGGUGGGGAACUUUGAGAUCACAGCCUGAAGCAGUGAUGGAGCACCUGGUGAGGGGUGCAGCCCUGCCUGCACAGGUGGAAGCAAUGCAGCCGUGGGGCAGAUGGGGCUGAGCCUGGCUCCACCCCUCCCUCAUAUCAUCUUAAGGGCUGGCAGCCCCACAGGCAGGGUUUCUUCCUGGAGAUGCCUCCUGUGGAUUGCUGGGUGAGCUCUGGUUCGUGGGAAGAGGUCAGCGAUUCUUUCUUGAUGGCUGUUGGGGUUUUGGUCUCUGCCUUUCUGUGGGGAUUGUAAGCUGGUUUACAGUAGCUCCGUCAGCUCUGCU
Long non-coding RNA from Tympanuchus pallidicinctus (lesser prairie-chicken), 711 nucleotides. RefSeq lists it as uncharacterized. The record is from RefSeq and is a predicted model, not a curated record. The transcript has 3 exons. NCBI's taxonomy places the organism in Eukaryota, Metazoa, Chordata, Aves, Galliformes, Phasianidae.